AUAGCUGGUUCUCUCCGAAAUAGCUUUAGGGCUAGCCUCGCAAAGAGGAUGCUGGAGGUAGAGCUCUGUUUGGACUAGGGGCCCGUCAAGGGUUACUGAAUUCAGAUAAACUGCGAAUUCCAGACAUUUAUGUGCGGGAGUCAGACUGCGAGUGAUAAGAUCCGUAGUCGAAAGGGAAACAGCCCAGAUCACCAGUUAAGGUCCCAAAAUUCAUGCUAAGUGGAAAAGGAUGUGGAGUUGCGCAGACAACUAGGACGUUGGCUCAGAAGCAGCCAUCAUUCAAAGAGUGCGUAAUAGCUCACUAGUCGAGUGACGCCGCGCCGAAAAUUUACCGGGGCUAAGCAUGAUACCGAAACUGUGGAUGUGCGUUUAUGCACGUGGUAGGAGAGCGUUCUAGCGGCGGUGAAGCAUGACCGAGAGGACAUGUGGAGCUUCUAGAAGUGAGAAUGCCGGUAUGAGUAACGAAAGACAGGUGAGAAUCCUGUCCGCCGCAAGACUAAGGUUUCCUGGGGCAGGCUCGUCCGCCCAGGGUAAGUCGGGACCUAAGGCGAGGCCGAGAGGCGUAGUCGAUGGACAACAGGUUGAAAUUCCUGUACUGCACCGAAUCGUUAUGAGCGAUGGAGGGACGCAGGAGGCUAGCAGCGCGUGGUGCUGGAUACCACGUUCAAGCGUCAAGUCUGAGAGCGAGUCAAAUGCUUGCUCUCAUAAGGACAAGGCGUGAUGAGGAGCGAAAUUAAAGUAGCGAAGGCUGCGACGUCACACUGCCGAGAAAAGCUUCUAGCCAGAGACGGUGCACCCGUACCGCAAACCGACACAGGUAGUCGAGGAGAGUAUCCUCAGGUGAGCGAGAGAACUCUCGUUAAGGAACUCGGCAAAAUGGCCCCGUAACUUCGGGAGAAGGGGCGCUGGUCGCAAGAUCAGCCGCAGUGAAAAGGCCCAAGCAACUGUUUAUCAAAAACACAGGCAUCUGCAAAAUCGUAAGAUGAAGUAUAGGUGCUGACACCUGCCCGGUGCUGGAAGGUUAAGAGGAGAGCUUAGCGCAAGCGAAGGUUUGAAUUGAAGCCCCAGUAAACGGCGGCCGUAACUAUAACGGUCCUAAGGUAGCGAAAUUCCUUGUCGGGUAAGUUCCGACCUGCACGAAAGGUGUAAUGAUUUGGGCACUGUCUCAACGAGAGACUCGGUGAAAUUAUAAUACCCGUGAAGAUGCGGGUUACCCGCGACAGGACGGAAAGACCCCAUGGAGCUUUACUGCAGUUUAAUAUUGGGUAUCUGUCAAGCAUGUACAGGAUAGGUAGGAGCCGGAGAAGAUAGGACGCCAGUCUUAUCAGAGGCGCUGUUGGGAUACUACCCUUGCUUGACGGAUGCUCUAACUCAGGCCUGUGAUCCAGGCCGAGGACAGUGUUUGACGGGCAGUUUGACUGGGGCGGUCGCCUCCUAAAGUGUAACGGAGGCGCCCAAAGGUUCCCUCAGAAUGGUUGGAAAUCAUUCGCAGAGUGUAAAGGUAAAAGGGAGCUUGACUGCGAGAGAGACAACUCGAGCAGGUACGAAAGUAGGGCUUAGUGAUCUGGUGGUACCGUAUGGAAGGGCCAUCACUCAACGGAUAAAAGCUACCCUGGGGAUAACAGGCUUAUCUCCCCCAAGAGUUCACAUCGACGGGGAGGUUUGGCACCUCGAUGUCGGCUCGUCGCAUCCUGGGGCUGAAGUCGGUCCCAAGGGUUGGGCUGUUCGCCCAUUAAAGCGGCACGCGAGCUGGGUUCAGAACGUCGUGAGACAGUUCGGUCCCUAUCCGUCGUGGGCGUAGGAAAUUUGAGAGGAGCUGUCCUUAGUACGAGAGGACCGGGAUGGACGCACCGCUGGUGUACCAGUUGUCUUGCCAAAGGCAUCGCUGGGUAGCUAUGUGCGGACGGGAUAAGCGCUGAAAGCAUCUAAGUGCGAAGCCCCCCUCAAGAUGAGAUUUCCCAUUUCUUCAAGAAAGUAAGACACCUCAGAGACGAUGAGGUAGAUAGGCCGGGAG
This 2014-nucleotide ribosomal RNA is filed under the name Lactobacillus delbrueckii subsp. bulgaricus. Its description in RNAcentral is "partial 23S ribosomal RNA". It matches the Rfam family "Bacterial large subunit ribosomal RNA", at positions 845 to 2867 of the family's 2925-position model. Lineage: Bacteria; Bacillati; Bacillota; Bacilli; Lactobacillales; Lactobacillaceae. The record is from RNAcentral.